GACGAACGCUGGCGGCGUGCCUAAUACAUGCAAGUAGAACGCUGAAGAGAGGAGCUUGCUCUUCUUGGAUGAGUUGCGAACGGGUGAGUAACGCGUAGGUAACCUGCCUUGUAGCGGGGGAUAACUAUUGGAAACGAUAGCUAAUACCGCAUAACAAUGGAUGACACAUGUCAUUUAUUUGAAAGGGGCAAUUGCUCCACUACAAGAUGGACCUGCGUUGUAUUAGCUAGUAGGUGAGGUAAUGGCUCACCUAGGCGACGAUACAUAGCCGACCUGAGAGGGUGAGCGGCCACACUGGGACGGAGACACGGCCCAGACUCCUACGGGAGGCAGCAGUAGGGAAUCUUCGGCAAUGGGGGCAACCCUGACCGAGCAACGCCGCGUGAGUGAAGAAGGUUUUCGGAUCGUAAAGCUCUGUUGUAAGUCAAGAACGGGUGUGAGAGUGGAAAGUUCACACUGUGACGGUAGCUGACCAGAAAGGGACGGCUAACUACGUG
This 497-nucleotide ribosomal RNA is filed under the name uncultured bacterium. Its description in RNAcentral is "partial 16S ribosomal RNA". It matches the Rfam family "Bacterial small subunit ribosomal RNA", at positions 28 to 507 of the family's 1533-position model. The record is from RNAcentral.